Molecule: ribosomal RNA, 253 nt
Filed under: uncultured bacterium
Lineage: Bacteria
Description: partial 16S ribosomal RNA
Rfam family: Bacterial small subunit ribosomal RNA
Source: RNAcentral
GACGUAGGGCGCGAGCGUUGUCCGGAUUUAUUGGGCGUAAAGAGCUCGUAGGCGGCUUGUCGCGUCGAAUGUGAAAUCUCAGGGCUCAACUCUGACAUUGCAUUCGAUACGGGCAGGCUAGAGUUCGGUAGGGGAGACUGGAAUUCCUGGUGUAGCGGUGAAAUGCGCAGAUAUCAGGAGGAACACCGGUGGCGAAGGCGGGUCUCUGGGCCGAUACUGACACUGAGGAGCGAAAGCCAGGGGAGCAAACGGG